This 430-nucleotide ribosomal RNA is filed under the name uncultured bacterium. RNAcentral describes it as "partial 16S ribosomal RNA". It matches the Rfam family "Bacterial small subunit ribosomal RNA", at positions 29 to 507 of the family's 1533-position model. The record is from RNAcentral.
ACGCACGCUGGCGGCAGGCUUAACCCAUGCAAGUCGAGCGCCCCGCAAGGGGAGCGGCAGACGGGUGAGUAACGCGUGGGAACGUACCUUUUGGUUCGGAACAACUCCGGGAAACUGGAGCUAAUACCGGAUAAGCCCUAACGGGGAAAGAUUUAUCGCCGAAAGAUCGGCCCGCGUCUGAUUAGCUAGUUGGUGAGGUAACGGCUCACCAAGGCGACGAUCAGUAGCUGGUCUGAGAGGAUGAUCAGCCACACUGGGACUGAGACACGGCCCAGACUCCUACGGGAGGCAGCAGUGGGGAAUAUUGGACAAUGGGCGCAAGCCUGAUCCAGCCAUGCCGCGUGAGUGAUGAAGGCCUUAGGGUUGUAAAGCUCUUUUGUCCGGGAAGAUAAUGACUGUACCGGAAGAAUAAGCCCCGGCUAACUUCGUG